This 253-nucleotide ribosomal RNA is filed under the name uncultured bacterium. RNAcentral's name for it is "partial 16S ribosomal RNA". It matches the Rfam family "Bacterial small subunit ribosomal RNA", at positions 524 to 776 of the family's 1533-position model. The record is from RNAcentral.
UACGGGGGGAGCAAGCGUUGUUCGGAAUCACUGGGCGUAAAGGGCGUCUAGGCGGUUCGGUAAGUGGGAUGUGAAAUGCCCGGGCUCACCCCGGGACCUGCAUCCCAAACUGCUGAGCUUGAGUACAGGAGAGGGUAGGGGAAUUCCAGGUGUAGCGGUGAAAUGCGUAGAUAUCUGGAGGAACACCGGUGGCGAAGGGGCCUACCUGGCCUGUUACUGACGCUGAAGCGCGAAAGCUAGGGGAGCAAACGGG